UAUGCAGGGAUUGUGUGUAUCAGCGUAGUGCUUUAAUACAUGCACUUUGAUCUGAAAGAGUUCCCUGCAACAUGCUGAUGGGCAGAUGGGCAGUUGUAUUUCAUGCAACAUGCUGAAAUAUUCAACAAUCAUCUUCCCCAAAUUU
This is a small nucleolar RNA of Argentina anserina (silverweed cinquefoil), 145 nucleotides long. RefSeq annotates it as small nucleolar RNA snoR135. The transcript has a single exon. Lineage: Eukaryota; Viridiplantae; Streptophyta; Magnoliopsida; Rosales; Rosaceae. The record is from RefSeq and is a predicted model, not a curated record.